RNAcentral lists this long non-coding RNA (1449 nucleotides) under Bos indicus x Bos taurus (hybrid cattle). RNAcentral describes it as "lncRNA (ENSBIXG00005018739.1)". The record is from RNAcentral. Lineage: Eukaryota; Metazoa; Chordata; Mammalia; Artiodactyla; Bovidae.
CACCUCCCGGCGGCUGCGCGCAGCCAGCGCCGAGACAGCACCCGGCCUCUGAUUGGUGCAGUGAGUGAGUCUCGGGCUUUAUUUAUACAACCUUUUCUGCACGACUCGACUUCCUCGGAGUUGAGGGCUGGAGCCGGAGGCAGCCUUCCUCCCCGGCUGGGAAGGAUGACAAGCCGGGGUCUGGUACCAGCGACUGUCUUCGUGAAUCCUUGGAUGGAUCAUUUUCACCUGCUUCUGUACGGAGCAGCCACCAAGUGUGGGGCGCGAUUUGCGGAAACCUCCAUAGAAGAACAAGACUGUGUGGCACCUCGGUAGGGCUGGGAGGGUGAAGGCUUUCAGACGAGCCCAGGGAUGCUGUGUUUGGGCCCUGGCUUUGGACCUCCUGCUCUGAAUCGUGGACACCGGUCUGGAAAGUGAGGCUGCCUUUCCAGCUGGGGGGUAAGAAGGGAUUCUCAACUCCGGCAUCCUCUUGGGUGAUGGCAGAGGAACCUUCUCGGACCAUAUCCUUGAAUGCUCCACUCAGGAUGUCUGGGAAAGCCCAUGGAGACGGACUGAGGCACAAAGAGUCAGCGGUUUCUCUGCUGUGCCCAUUCUCAGCAGAUCUGGUUAAGGAUCAGAAGCUACCUGUCCUCUUAUGCAUACGAACUUUAGCCCCACACAUGAAAGAUACUUUGAAGUCAUCUGAUGGCAGCCCAAGCUCAGAGACAAGGAUCGUGAAGCCGAGAGGUUAACUGACUUGCCCAAAGGAGACAGGAAGCACAAGGGCACGUCUGUGAGUCCCUGGGAUGUGUUUCAACCAGCACGUCAAACAAGGACAAAGUCAUCAGCGCUGGACCCAUCGAGUACCCUGACUCCAGUGAAACAGGACAAGGUAAGUAAAUUGGGGACCUGGAGGUGACACUGAUCUCAGGUUCUAAAGACCAUGAGCAAAACUUACUGGACAUCAGGCAGUGUUGUUCUGGGAACUGAAUGUUGCUUUUGAGCAGGUUUGCAGCACCUCUGGUUUACAGCUCUCACUGGGCAAAGUGUCCAGGGGAGAAAAUGUAGGACUUCUUUUCUAGUUGUUUCUCUUUGGAGUUCUGGGAAUUUGGGGCCACUGAAGCCUGGUGGCUACCAGUUCAGUUAUUAAUUCUGUAGCUCAGACUUCCUCCAGCAGAGGGCAGCCCAGGACUCAGGAAGAAAACCCAGCCUCUCACUGCGGUCCUGGCGGUUUGGGGAAAUGGGGAUAUGAGUUUUUAUUUGGUCCCAUGCAUUCAGGCCAGAGAAGGAAAUGGCAACCCACUCCAGUAUUCCUGCCUGGAGAAUCCCAGGGACAGAGGAGCCUGGUGGGCUGCCAUCUAUGGGGUCGCACAGAGUCAGACACGACUGAAGCAACUUAGCAGCAGCAUGCAUUCAGGCAGAAGUUUUUCAGGAUUAUGUUUUGACCAAUAAAACAGAAAGUUUACCUAG